RNAcentral lists this non-coding RNA (21 nucleotides) under Caenorhabditis elegans. Lineage: Eukaryota; Metazoa; Nematoda; Chromadorea; Rhabditida; Rhabditidae. The record is from RNAcentral.
UAGUCGAAUUAAGAAACUUUU